AAUUGAAUUAUUCUACAGAUAUAAUUUUGGAAUCGGGUGAUGUAAACACGAGUUGCUAUGAUUAUCGCAUUUGGAAUCAUAAAGACCUGAACUUUCAAGAUACUGACAUGAAAUUUCGUUUUAUGCCAAAAGCUAAGAAUGGCGAGCAAACCUAUACAACACAGGGCUUAAGAAUGUCAUGUGAUCACGAUUUUUCAUCAUACGGUUUAAAUUUGGAGACAGAUAAAAUAUAUCCUUUAAAUACAAAGUGGAAAUUCUCGGAUCGCACUAAAGUUUGUCAGGCCACAGAAAGGUCGAGCGAAAUGUUAAAAACUUGUGGGAAAACAUUGUUCAAGGCAUUUCAGGAUAUUAUAUUUGUUAGCAAUGACUGACAUUGCCAUUUAUGUCAUAUCUGAGGCUUUAUUUUAAUAUAAACAUAUGAAAUAAAAGGUACUCUAGUCUCUACUUACGCCUUUUGGUAUCCUGUAACCACAAAUGACCAUAUCUUUCUGUAAUGUUCUACCGUUUCCUAUCACAGUUGAAUACAUCCUAAAAAUGUCAUUAAAUAUUAUUUGCAUAACUUUAAAUCACACGAUCAAACUUACCGUAAUACUUCUUUGAUAAAUGCUUUCAAAUAAAUCAUUUUUUCCAAUUUACUCGCAUCUAAUUUGUCGUCUUUGUUGGGAAGCACUUUUAACAUUUCUUGAUAUAUUUUUUCUUGUUCUUCAGGCCUCGUCGCUAUUUGAUAAAGCAUUGAACAUACAGCCAUCGAUAUCUAGAAAAUCCGCCAUAAAUAAAAUAUUAUAAUAAUCUGAAUUAGCACUUUGUACAUUGUAAUUUAUUUACUAAUUAAAAUACCGUGUCUAUUCCGACAAGAAUAAGAUCCAACGCUAAUACGUAGGCAGUUUUGGGAUCGGGUUCGUUAGCUAAUAUUCUUUCCACCAAAGACAAUUCGCUUUCAUUGACUAUCGCUGGUUUGGUUUUUAAUCUCAGCAUGGCGUCAUCUAUAUACUUCAUACAUAUUCUAAAACAUCAUAGUUUAUUUUAAUGUAGGUAAAAUUACUUGUUUAUAAAAUCAUUCUUUAAUAAAACUAAUUUAUCUAUUAACCUAACCUAUUAAGUUACUAACCAAUGGUUGAAUUUAAACAAACAACGAUUUAGGUACCAACUUACUCGAUAAAAUAGUCCAUGUUAGACACGUAUUUCUUCCAAAGCGUUGACGGCAAAUAACGCCAAAAUGGAUAUUUUAGUUCUAGCAGAGCUACAUUACGAAGAGCGUAUUUCGCUGCAUCUAUAAUCUUUUGCGGCUCUGAAUUAUGAGGUAAAUCGGGUCUCAAACAACCCAGUCUAGCAUCUAAAGCCACUCGACCUAUGCACUCCAAUGCCCACUUGUGAAUUUCAUUGUCGAAAUCAGCAGGCAUUUCAGAAUUUUCGUUUUUCAUUUCUUGCAUUCUAAACAUAAUUAAUACAUUUAUAUUUAUUUGUAAAAUCCGGGAUCGUUUUACUAUAUUCUAUAGUCGUACAACUACGUAAUAUUAUUUUAUACCUUUGGAUAAAGUAGUCGGAGACUUCUUCGAUGGGCUGUAUAUAUUUUUUUACGGUUUGAGGCUGUAGUACUGGCUUUUGAACUUUAGUUCUAAAUUCUCUCCAUGGUUCUCCAUGCCUAUAAUAUACAAUGUGACAUUUAAUUAAGUAUUAAAUAGUUAUAUUAUUUUCUUUUUUCCUACACUUACACGCCGACUACUCCGGGAAGUCUACCGAAAAACUGUUUUCGAACUUGACUCUUGUACUUAACUAAGCAAGGCAUAGAGGGUCUAAAUGGCGUAUCUCCUUCUUGUCUGUAAACUUUUUCUAUUUCGUCGGCAUCGUAAACGAACAAUAAAUCCGGACGUCCAACAAGAUUACCGAGUUUUGCCAUUUUUCCGUAUUGCUUGUAAAGUACGUACGAUACAUUAGCCAAAUCCGAUAUCUGGUAAGGACCUAUUGGAACCAAGAAAGACUUAACCAAAUAUAAUUCAAUUGUGUUUACUUAUCAAAGUCAAUAGUUAUAUGUCAUUACCAAUGAUCGGUAACAUUCUCCAAGUAUUUCCGAUAAUUGGCCAUGGAGUUGGUCCCGGAACAUCACAGUAGGGUUUGGCUUUAGCUAAGUUUUCAGCUUCAUCAAAUGAGUCGAUAGUUCCUGAAGACACAGCUGGUGCAGCAGCAGUUGACCGCCAUCUCGUCGAAAUAUGGGAUAAACGCAAUUUUUUCAUUAUGGCUUUCUUAGUUUUAAGUUCAUUCAAUUUAACUGUAUAAUACCUAUGUAUGAUCAAAUAUUAUAGCUUUAAUAUGGACCUGAGAAUUUCUUACAUUUUAUAAUUUUCAUUUUAUUUGCGUCUGGACCCAUGACAAACUUUAAAUCACUACACUGAUUUCUUACUAUAAAUAAUUUUUAUAAUCGUUCACCAAAAGUAUAAGUCUAUAUAAGAUGGACUCCUAUAUUAUAGGUGCGUUACAUUAACUCCGUAUAGUGGGGUUAAUAGCCUUCUUUAGCCAACUAUUGUUGGCUAGAGAAGAGUAGGAAUACGAUUAAAUGAGAAAAGUCGCCGAUUGUGACUUCCUUAUUUAUGAGACAGACUAAGU
Adelges cooleyi (spruce gall adelgid) is the source of this 2601-nucleotide long non-coding RNA. RefSeq lists it as uncharacterized. The record is from RefSeq and is a predicted model, not a curated record. The transcript has 3 exons. NCBI's taxonomy places the organism in Eukaryota, Metazoa, Arthropoda, Insecta, Hemiptera, Adelgidae.